GAUGAACGCUGGCGGCGUGCCUAAUACAUGCAAGUCGAGCGAACGGACGAGAAGCUUGCUUCUCUGAUGUUAGCGGCGGACGGGUGAGUAACACGUGGAUAACCUACCUAUAAGACUGGGAUAACUUCGGGAAACCGGAGCUAAUACCGGAUGAUAUUUUGAACCGCAUGGUUCAAAAGUGAAAGACGGUCUUGCUGUCACUUAUAGAUGGAUCCGCGCUGCAUUAGCUAGUUGGUAAGGUAACGGCUUACCAAGGCAACGAUGCAUAGCCGACCUGAGAGGGUGAUCGGCCACACUGGAACUGAGACACGGUCCAGACUCCUACGGGAGGCAGCAGUAGGGAAUCUUCCGCAAUGGGCGAAAGCCUGACGGAGCAACGCCGCGUGAGUGAUGAAGGUCUUCGGAUCGUAAAACUCUGUUAUUAGGGAAGAACAUAUGUGUAAGUAACUGUGCACAUCUUGGCGGUACCUAAUCAGAGAGCCACGGCUAACUACGUGCCAGCAGCCGCGGUAAUACGUAGGUGGCAAGCGUUAUCCGGAAUUAUUGGGCGUAAAGCGCGCGUAGGCGGUUUUUUAAGUCUGAUGUGAAAGCCCACGGCUCAACCGUGGAGGGUCAUUGGAAACUGGAAAACUUGAGUGCAGAAGAGGAAAGUGGAAUUCCAUGUGUAGCGGUGAAAUGCGCAGAGAUAUGGAGGAACACCAGUGGCGAAGGCGACUUUCUGGUCUGUAACUGACGCUGAUGUGCGAAAGCGUGGGGAUCAAACAGGAUUAGAUACCCUGGUAGUCCACGCCGUAAACGAUGAGUGCUAAGUGUUAGGGGGUUUCCGCCCCUUAGUGCUGCAGCUAACGCAUUAAGCACUCCGCCUGGGGAGUACGACCGCAAGGUUGAAACUCAAAGGAAUUGACGGGGACCCGCACAAGCGGUGGAGCAUGUGGUUUAAUUCGAAGCAACGCGAAGAACCUUACCAAAUCUUGACAUCCUUUGACAACUCUAGAGAUAGAGCCUUCCCCUUCGGGGGACAAAGUGACAGGUGGUGCAUGGUUGUCGUCAGCUCGUGUCGUGAGAUGUUGGGUUAAGUCCCGCAACGAGCGCAACCCUUAAGCUUAGUUGCCAUCAUUAAGUUGGGCACUCUAAGUUGACUGCCGGUGACAAACCGGAGGAAGGUGGGGAUGACGUCAAAUCAUCAUGCCCCUUAUGAUUUGGGCUACACACGUGCUACAAUGGACAAUACAAAGGGCAGCGAAACCGCGAGGUCAAGCAAAUCCCAUAAAGUUGUUCUCAGUUCGGAUUGUAGUCUGCAACUCGACUACAUGAAGCUGGAAUCGCUAGUAAUCGUAGAUCAGCAUGCUACGGUGAAUACGUUCCCGGGUCU
Molecule: ribosomal RNA, 1372 nt
Filed under: uncultured bacterium
Lineage: Bacteria
Description: bacterial SSU rRNA
Rfam family: Bacterial small subunit ribosomal RNA
Source: RNAcentral